This is a long non-coding RNA of Poecilia latipinna (sailfin molly), 96 nucleotides long. RefSeq lists it as uncharacterized. NCBI's taxonomy places the organism in Eukaryota, Metazoa, Chordata, Actinopteri, Cyprinodontiformes, Poeciliidae. The record is from RefSeq and is a predicted model, not a curated record. The transcript has 3 exons.
GAGUUUUCUGUCAUUUCCUUCAGUGGUUCUUAGUGCAGUGCCCCCACAGGCGGGGAGGGGAACAGUUUUUCAAACGGUUUGAUUUGUAUGAAAUGA